This 554-nucleotide long non-coding RNA is filed under the name Bemisia tabaci. RNAcentral's name for it is "lncRNA ENSSSA2NGG011914". The record is from RNAcentral. Lineage: Eukaryota; Metazoa; Arthropoda; Insecta; Hemiptera; Aleyrodidae.
AAGAGGAGUUAAUUUCUAUUUUAAUAAGGCUUGCUUUACUCUGGGUUCGAUUCGACACCGUAUCUCCAAUUCCAAAUGGCCUUGAUCAUCGACAAGCCUGUAUUAUUCUUGUGUGUCUGGCCCGCGAGGGAACAUCUCUAAUCUCAAACUGGUAUCGUAUCAUCUUUCCUCUUAGUUGGAAUCGUAUGCAGUUGUACAUUUGUGAUCACGGUCGCGUGAUCUCUCUAAAAAUUAAACGAAACCUCUCAACCGAUUAUUGUUUCGAGCAAAAAUCUUAAAACGAAUUCAUCAGGGCUGUCACGUGAACCUCCAGAAAGGAGCAUACUAAAGUUUGAUAACUCAUAAGCAUGCAGUAAGCAAUUUUCUAUCGGCUCAUUAAUCCAGUCACGAAGCGAGCAAAAGUAAGAUUGCUGAUUGCUAGAAUCUAACGGCAUACCUUAAUAUAUUUAUAUAUUUUCUGUCUCAAACAGUGAACAAAAGUAUACUAUGUCCAAAAUCUUAUGCUGACAGGAGAAAAAGAUCUGCUCUCUCCACUUUCUUACACAUUGAUAGAA